CGUUUGCAGUGAGAUGCUUUCGUGAGCGUUUCCCAUCAAGGAUCCCAGGAGGCGCGAGGGUAGCUGUGGUAGCCGUACUGCUGCCCAGCAAUGACAGAAACCUUGGAUAAUCUCCCUGACUCCAGCAGCUCAUCCUGGAGUACCUUUCCUCCAUAAUACACCUAAUCCUUGAAGCCUAUCCCAGCUCCUAUCAGCCAUCUGCCAUCACUGGCGGAGAACCUAUGGUCCUGAAAGGGAAAAUGAAGAAUUGAUCCAGACAAAGAACUGAAAUUCAAACACAAAGGUGCAUGAGAAAUGAUCCUUCUGUGAAAUGAUUUAUAUUUCUUGUUUGUAUAGCAAUGGUGUUAAUGAGCUAAA
Molecule: long non-coding RNA, 357 nt
Organism: Neopsephotus bourkii (Bourke's parrot)
Lineage: Eukaryota; Metazoa; Chordata; Aves; Psittaciformes; Psittacidae
Exons: 2
Source: RefSeq, a predicted model, not a curated record